This 279-nucleotide microRNA precursor is filed under the name Medicago truncatula (barrel medic). RNAcentral's name for it is "MIR2655 microRNA precursor family". It matches the Rfam family "MIR2655 microRNA precursor family". Lineage: Eukaryota; Viridiplantae; Streptophyta; Magnoliopsida; Fabales; Fabaceae. The record is from Rfam by way of RNAcentral.
CCCUUAACUAUUAAAAAUUUCGUUUUGGUCCUUUAACUUACUUUUUGGUUUCGUUUUGGUCCCUUAACUUAUUUUUUGGUUUCAUUUUGGUCCCUUAACUCUAAUACAUUCAUCCUAAUAUAAAAGACCAAAGUGGUUGACAGAGGAUGAGUUAAGGGACCAAAACAAAACCAAAAAGUAAGUUAAAGGACCAAAAUGAAACUUUUAAUAGUUAAGGGACCAAAACGAAAGCAAAAAAUAAGUUAAGGGACCAAAAUAAAACUUUUAAUAGUUAAGGUA